ACGAACGCUGGCGGCGUGCUUCACACAUGCAAGUCGAACGGAAAGGCCCUGCUUUUGUGGGGUGCUCGAGUGGCGAACGGGUGAGUAACACGUGAGUAACCUGCCCUUGACUUUGGGAUAACUUCAGGAAACUGGGGCGAAUACCGGAUAGGAGCUCCUGCUGCAUGGUGGGGGUUGGAAAGUUUCGGCGGUUGGGGAUGGACUCGCGGCUUAUCAGCUUGUUGGUGGGGUAGUGGCGUACCAAGGCUUUGACGGGUAGCCGGCCUGAGAGGGUAACCGGCCCCAUUGGGACUGAGAUACGGCCCAGACUCCUCCGGGAGGCAGCAGUGGGGAAUAUUGCACAAUGGGCGGAAGCCUGAUGCAGCAACGCCGCGUGCGGGAUGACGGCCUUCGGGUUGUAAACCGCUUUCGCCUGUGACGAAGCGUGAGUGACGGUAAUGGGUAAAGAAGCACCGGCUAACUACGUG
This 467-nucleotide ribosomal RNA is filed under the name uncultured bacterium. RNAcentral describes it as "partial 16S ribosomal RNA". It matches the Rfam family "Bacterial small subunit ribosomal RNA", at positions 29 to 507 of the family's 1533-position model. The record is from RNAcentral.